RNAcentral lists this ribosomal RNA (235 nucleotides) under Helicobacter pylori. RNAcentral's name for it is "partial 23S ribosomal RNA". It matches the Rfam family "Bacterial large subunit ribosomal RNA", at positions 1887 to 2119 of the family's 2925-position model. Lineage: Bacteria; Pseudomonadati; Campylobacterota; Epsilonproteobacteria; Campylobacterales; Helicobacteraceae. The record is from RNAcentral.
GCGUCAGUCGCAAGAUGAAGCGUUGAAUUGAAGCCCGAGUAAACGGCGGCCGUAACUAUAACGGUCCUAAGGUAGCGAAAUUCCUUGUCGGUUAAAUACCGACCUGCAUGAAUGGCGUAACGAGAUGGGAGCUGUCUCAACCAGAGAUUCAGUGAAAUUGUAGUGGAGGUGAAAAUUCCUCCUACCCGCGGCAAGACGGAAAGACCCCGUGGACCUUUACUACAACUUAGCACUG